CCAUAUCACGUUGAACCACCAGUUCCCGUACUAUAAUGGAAGUUAAGCAACGUUGAGCUUGGUCAGUACCUAGAUAUGUGACCGCUUGGGAAUACCAGAUGCUGUAAGC
Molecule: non-coding RNA, 109 nt
Organism: Acanthosepion pharaonis
Lineage: Eukaryota; Metazoa; Mollusca; Cephalopoda; Sepiida; Sepiidae
Source: the annotation of a GenBank genome assembly